UUUCUCCCUGUGCCACCGAUGAUUCUCAACUGUAUAUUAUGCGUUUCCCCUGCCGCCAUAUACUGGAGUACUAUUUAGCUGUUUGCAUGUUAUGAAUCAGAACAUAUAUACAUCAACUUUGUCUCGCGAGUAUAUAAUUACCGGUAUACGUAAUUGUCACAAAUUACAAAAUAAAUAAUGUACAGUAUGUAUCUGAGCAAUUAUAUUUAUCGUUAGUUCCGCUCUUGUGUAUUAUACAGCCUGUAAUGGAGAUUGUUAUGAAGUUUUCCGCUCGGUAUCAGCAACUUCAAGUGAGUCGUGACUUCGAGGAUUACAAGACCAUCCGCCAGGAUGCUCGGCCAAAUAAGCGCUCAGGAUCAUCUGAAAAUAAACGACCUUCUGGAUGUUCUUACCAAGGAACCGAAAACGGAUGCUCAACUCAAGAGGAUCCCGGCCAGCAUUCCGCCAGUUCAGACCACGGGACAUCCAUGCCGCUUUAUGCUGCGUUAAAUGCCACUGCGGACUGGCUAUCAAGUUUUGUUUCGGUUGUGCAACAAUUCCGGCAAGCGCUUGGAAUCUGAAACAGACAAACAGUAACACCACGGCCACUUCCUGAAAGAGACCAAAUGUACAUUGUUGACAUUAACUGCUGAACCACUGUCGCAGAUAAGCAACUGCAGCUGAGCUGCAGCACAUUUGGCGAGCGGCAAAAGGUCACACGCGGUAUCUUUGCCUGUUUGGAUUAUGUAAAAAAUCAGAUCUAGAGAGUUGAAGUAUCGAUAAAAAUUUUGGGUAUCGA
Molecule: long non-coding RNA, 778 nt
Organism: Paramacrobiotus metropolitanus
Lineage: Eukaryota; Metazoa; Tardigrada; Eutardigrada; Parachela; Macrobiotidae
Exons: 2
Source: RefSeq, a predicted model, not a curated record